Molecule: ribosomal RNA, 253 nt
Filed under: uncultured bacterium
Lineage: Bacteria
Description: partial 16S ribosomal RNA
Rfam family: Bacterial small subunit ribosomal RNA
Source: RNAcentral
UACGUAGGGGGCAAGCGUUGUCCGGAUUUAUUGGGCGUAAAGAGCGUGUAGGCGGCCAGACAGGUCCGUUGUGAAAACUCGAGGCUCAACCUCGAGAUGUCGAUGGAAACCGUCUGGCUAGAGUCCGGAAGAGGAGUGUGGAAUUCCUGGUGUAGCGGUGAAAUGCGCAGAUAUCAGGAGGAACACCAGUAGCGAAGGCGGCUCGCUGGGCCAUUCCUGACGCUGAGACGCGAAAGCUAGGGGAGCGAACAGG